Acanthosepion pharaonis is the source of this 110-nucleotide non-coding RNA. Lineage: Eukaryota; Metazoa; Mollusca; Cephalopoda; Sepiida; Sepiidae. The record is from the annotation of a GenBank genome assembly.
UGGCCACGUCACGUUGAAACACCUGUUCCCGUACAAUCACCGAAGUUAAGCAACGUCGAGCUUGUCCAGUACCUAGAUGGGUGGCCCUUUGGGAAUACCAGGUGCUGUAA